This 253-nucleotide ribosomal RNA is filed under the name uncultured bacterium. RNAcentral describes it as "partial 16S ribosomal RNA". It matches the Rfam family "Bacterial small subunit ribosomal RNA", at positions 524 to 776 of the family's 1533-position model. The record is from RNAcentral.
UACGUAGGGUGCAAGCGUUGUCCGGAAUUAUUGGGCGUAAAGAGCUCGUAGGCGGUCUGUCACGUCGGCUGUGAAAACCCGGGGCUCAACCCCGGGCCUGCAGUCGAUACGGGCAGACUAGAGUGUGGUAGGGGAGACUGGAAUUCCUGGUGUAGCGGUGAAAUGCGCAGAUAUCAGGAGGAACACCGGUGGCGAAGGCGGGUCUCUGGGCCAUAACUGACGCUGAGGAGCGAAAGCGUGGGGAGCGAACAGG